RNAcentral lists this ribosomal RNA (469 nucleotides) under uncultured bacterium. Its description in RNAcentral is "bacterial SSU rRNA". It matches the Rfam family "Bacterial small subunit ribosomal RNA", at positions 331 to 792 of the family's 1533-position model. The record is from RNAcentral.
CCAGACUCCUACGGGAGGCAGCAGUGGGGAAUAUUGCACAAUGGGCGCAAGCCUGAUGCAGCCAUGCCGCGUGUAUGAAGAAGGCCUUCGGGUUGUAAAGUACUUUCAGUCGGGAGGAAGGUGGUAAGGUUAAUAACCUUAUCAAUUGACGUUACCGACAGAAGAAGCACCGGCUAACUCCGUGCCAGCAGCCGCGGUAAUACGGAGGGUGCAAGCGUUAAUCGGAAUUACUGGGCGUAAAGCGCACGCAGGCGGUUGAUUGAGUCAGAUGUGAAAUCCCCGGGCUUAACCCGGGAAUUGCAUCUGAUACUGGUCAGCUAGAGUCUUGUAGAGGGGGGUAGAAUUCCAUGUGUAGCGGUGAAAUGCGUAGAGAUGUGGAGGAAUACCGGUGGCGAAGGCGGCCCCCUGGACAAAGACUGACGCUCAGGUGCGAAAGCGUGGGGAGCAAACAGGAUUAGAUACCCCAGUA